GGAGCACGAAAAAGGGAGAAAAAGGAAUAUUUUUUAUAUAGAGAGAAGGACACGCAUACAUGGAGGGGGAUUUUUCUUUUUUCCUUUUUGAGGGAAUUCAUCACCUUCGUAUAACACAGAUACACAGAGAAAGGCGGCCAUCACCAAGAAAAACAUGCACACACACACGCACCUCUCAACAAUACACCGCCAUGGAUAGAUUUCACUGAAACUCCCACAAGCACAAAGAUCCCUCAUCACCUUCACCGCAUACACACGCAGCAAAUACACCAUUCACUCACAAAUCGCAUACAUACACUCACAGCUCACCGAAAAACACACACACAUGCACGCAGUAAAGAAAAAUGAGAUAAUGGAUGGAGUUUGAGGUAGAUUGGAUGAAGGAACAGUGAAAUCCAGUGAAAAUCUCGUCGGAAACACUACUUGCCGUCAGAUCCGACCCGUUUUCUUCACUUUCUGGACGCUACUUGAGCUCACCGGAGCUCUGGCGUCUCAGUCCCUGUCCGAAUUCGUCAUUCUGUUCAUUCUUGGUUUGAUUCCGACAAGGUCACGCCGAAAUUAUACGGACUCUGUUUCGGUUUUCUGGACGCAAUCUUCGUUUUGGUUAUCUGUGGGUAUUUUGGACUUCUGUUCAACUCAGAAUUUGCGGGUUAUCGAGAUUUUGAACUGGUUUUAGUCAACUCGUAAAUUCGGAUUCGAGUUUUUCUAUUCAGGGUUUCAAGUCCGGGUUUUCUUAAGUAUUAUUACCGAUGAAAUCGGUUCUUCGAAGGGUGAAUCGUCCAAAGAGAUACGUCUCAAGAUACUAAAUCUAUCAUUGUCAAUGAUGGUAGGGUGAAUCGUCCAAAGAGAUACAUCUCAAGGACCUUAGGUUGGGAUGAAUACCCACAUGGUAGUUGGAGCAACGCUCAAAAUCCAUCAUAUGGAGCAUUUUACCCUCUAUCAGCUUCUUUUGGACCUCUACAGUCCAUGCGUGCAUGCUCAAGAGUUUAGAAACUUCAAGAGCAAUGGAUGAUGGCUUUGAAUAGCGUGAAGAUAUCAUGAGGUAUUAUUUUCGGAUCCAGUUCAUUUCUUGUCAAAACCAAAGAAUGGUUCCUAAGGUUUGGACUUCAACAACAACAACAACAAAUUCAGUAACACAAAUCCAGUGUAUUCCCACAUUGUGGGGUCUGGGGAGGAUAAAAUAUACACAGCUGUUACCGAUAGACCCCCGGCUCAAGACAAAGAAUAGCAAACACAUUCGUAAUAAAGCAUGAAACAAGAUGGAAUAACAGAAUAAGACACCCACAAAGUAACACCCCUACACUAACGAACCAAAGGCACCCCCACUCUCAUAACCUCCUACUAGCAGCUCCAACCUAUGGACGUAGCCUUAAGACUACUGGCCCGGCUAUUUCAAAGCUCUCCUAACUGCUGACUACGACCCACCCACAUGCACUAGCCAUCUAACCUAAUUCGCGUCCUCCAUGUCUUCCUAUCUAGGGUCAUGUCCUCAGUAAGUUAUAACUGCUCCAUGUCACGUCUAAUCACCUCUCUCCAGUAUUUUUGCAGUGCUAGUUUAAAAUUAGAGCAUGAUGUUUGGGUAAUCAGGAUUUAGAUAUUACCCAAAUCAUGUAUUUUUAUGUUUUAUCAUAAAACAAAAUGGUGUGCUCGAGAUGCUUUCUUUGAAGGGAAUAAGGGGAGACAAUAAACCAACCAUCUCUUUUUACAUUGCAAGUGGACAGAUUAGUUAUGGAGAAUGUUCAUCUUUGAAGAUAAGUUGGGUGAAAUCAGGUAGCAUCAGAGGUAUUUUGAGCUCCUGGAAGAGUGAUAGCAAUGCAACUACAAAGGAGGAGAUAUGGAAGAUUGUCCCAUCAUGCAUUUGGUGGACAACUAAGUCGCGUGAACUCUUCGCUUUCGAUGCCGCACCGGUGUCGAAUUCUCCAAAAAAAAAUAUACUGGUUUUGGCGAAUCCGACACACACCCGUUGAUAUUUUUGAAGAGUCUGAGCAACAUAGGUGGAAAGUAUGCAUGCAAGUAAAGUAACCAAAGGUGUUUUGAAGAUAACCAGAAUGACAUUAACAAGUUGAAGAUGAAUUGCUUAACUUUAUUUUACUUUUUGGUGUAAACAGAAUAUUCUAGUUCUAGUAUAAACACAAGAUUUUUUUGAUAGUCCUAGAUUACUUGUAAGAAAUAGUGAUGAAAGAUGGGGGAGUUUGUAAUACCUUUGAAGGGGAACUACACAAUCAGUUUAAAAAACUCUUGAGACAAAAAAAGAAUGUUCAUAUAA
Capsicum annuum is the source of this 2266-nucleotide long non-coding RNA. RefSeq lists it as uncharacterized. Lineage: Eukaryota; Viridiplantae; Streptophyta; Magnoliopsida; Solanales; Solanaceae. The transcript has 3 exons. The record is from RefSeq and is a predicted model, not a curated record.